AUGACUGCUAUCCUGCUACUCAACAUAGCCUGCCUUCUUAGUUUCUGCCUGCCUUUGGCAGAGCCGUGUAAGUUGGCCAUCCAACCCAAGGCACCGAUUGUGGAAUUUGGGGGCUCUGUAAAACUCAACUGUACAUCCACCUGCACCAACUACACUAAAGUGGACUGGGAGGUGUCGUUUGCACGAGAUGUCAAGGAAGGAGAAGGGUGGAUUUCUCUGAACAUCAAGAACGUGACAGAAUGGACCACUCAACCAUUGUGUGUGGCUAGAUACAAGGAAUCAGACUCCAUCCACACCAGGGCAGUAAUCUAUGUUUACCAGAGGUCUCGCAGUUGGAUCGCAGCUGUGGUGGUUGUGUCAUUGUUGGCUGUAGUCUUCACUGGAGGCAUUUUCUGGUAUCAUUGCAGGAAGUGA
RNAcentral lists this long non-coding RNA (414 nucleotides) under Anolis carolinensis (green anole). RNAcentral's name for it is "lncRNA (ENSACAG00000039428.1)". Lineage: Eukaryota; Metazoa; Chordata; Lepidosauria; Squamata; Anolidae. The record is from RNAcentral.